RNAcentral lists this ribosomal RNA (253 nucleotides) under uncultured bacterium. RNAcentral's name for it is "partial 16S ribosomal RNA". It matches the Rfam family "Bacterial small subunit ribosomal RNA", at positions 524 to 776 of the family's 1533-position model. The record is from RNAcentral.
UACGGAGGGUGCGAGCGUUGUCCGGAUUUAUUGGGUUUAAAGGGUGCGUAGGCGGUCUAUUAAGUCAGCGGUGAAAUACUCCAGCUUAACUGGAGGGGUGCCAUUGAUACUGAUGGACUUGAGUCAAGUCGAGGUAGGCGGAAUUGACGGUGUAGCGGUGAAAUGCUUAGAUAUCGUCAAGAACACCAAUAGUGAAGACAGCUUACUGGGCUUAAACUGACGCUGAGGCACGAAAGUGUGGGGAUCAAACAGG